AUCGAACGCUGGCGGAAUGCUUUACACAUGCAAGUCGAACGGCAGCACGGACUUCGGUCUGGUGGCGAGUGGCGAACGGGUGAGUAAUAUAUCGGAACGUGCCCAGUCGUGGGGGAUAACGUAGCGAAAGCUACGCUAAUACCGCAUACGAUCUACGGAUGAAAGCGGGGGAUCGCAAGACCUCGCGCGAUUGGAGCGGCCGAUAUCAGAUUAGGUGGUUGGUGAGGUAAAGGCUCACCAAGCCGACGAUCUGUAGCUGGUCUGAGAGGACGACCAGCCACACUGGGACUGAGACACGGCCCAGACUCCUACGGGAGGCAGCAGUGGGGAAUUUUGGACAAUGGACGCAAGUCUGAUCCAGCCAUUCCGCGUGCAGGACGAAGGCCUUCGGGUUGUAAACUGCUUUUGUACAGAACGAAAAGGUCUCUAUUAAUACUAGGGGCUCAUGACGGUACUGUAAGAAUAAGCACCGGCUAACUACGUGCCAGCCGCCGCAGUAA
Molecule: ribosomal RNA, 500 nt
Filed under: uncultured bacterium
Lineage: Bacteria
Description: partial 16S ribosomal RNA
Rfam family: Bacterial small subunit ribosomal RNA
Source: RNAcentral